ACGCUGGCGGCAGGCCUAACACAUGCAGGUCGAGCGGUAGAGAGAAGCUUGCUUCUCUUGAGAGCGGCGGACGGGUGAGUAAUGCCUAGGAAUCUGCCUGGUAGUGGGGGAUAACGUUCGGAAACGGACGCUAAUACCGCAUACGUCCUACGGGAGAAAGCAGGGGACCUUCGGGCCCUGCGCUAUCAGAUGAGCCUAGGUCGGAUUAGCUAGUUGGUGGGGUAAUGGCUCACCAAGGCGACGAUCCGUAACUGGUCUGAGAGGAUGAUCAGUCACACUGGAACUGAGACACGGUCCAGACUCCUACGGGAGGCAGCAGUGGGGAAUAUUGGACAAUGGGCGAAAGCCUGAUCCAGCAAUGCCGCGUGAGUGAAGAAGGCCUUCGGGUUGUAAAGCACUUUAAGUUGGGAGGAAGGGCAGUUACCUAAUACGUGAUUGUUUUGACGUCACCGACAGAAUAAGCACCGGCUAACUCUGUGCCAGCAGCCGCGGUAAUACAGAGGGUGCAAGCGUUAAUCGGAAUUACUGGGCGUAAAGCGCGCGUAGGUGGUUCGUUAAGUUGGAUGUGAAAUCCCCGGGCUCAACCUGGGAACUGCAUUCAAAACUGACGAGCUAGAGUAUGGUAGAGGGUGGUGGAAUUUCCUGUGUAGCGGUGAAAUGCGUAGAUAUAGGAAGGAACACCAGUGGCGAAGGCGUCCACCUGGACUGAUACUGACACUGAGGUGCGAAAGC
This 732-nucleotide ribosomal RNA is filed under the name uncultured bacterium. RNAcentral's name for it is "bacterial SSU rRNA". It matches the Rfam family "Bacterial small subunit ribosomal RNA", at positions 33 to 760 of the family's 1533-position model. The record is from RNAcentral.